UAGUCCACGCCGUAAACGAUGUCUACUAGCCGUUGGACUCCUUGAGGGUUUAGUGGCGCAGCUAACGCAUUAAGUAGACCGCCUGGGGAGUACGGUCGCAAGAUUAAAACUCAAAUGAAUUGACGGGGGCCCGCACAAGCGGUGGAGCAUGUGGUUUAAUUCGAAGCAACGCGAAGAACCUUACCUACUCUUGAAAUCCAGUGAAUUUGUCAGAGAUGACUUAGUGCCUUCGGGAACACUGAGACAGGUGCUGCAUGGCUGUCGUCAGCUCGUGUUGUGAAAUGUUGGGUUAAGUCCCGUAACGAGCGCAACCCCUAUCCUUAGUUGCCAGCGAGUAAUGUCGGGGACUCUAAGGAGACUGCCGGUGACAAACCGGAGGAAGGCGGGGAUGACGUCAAGUCAUCAUGGGCCCUUACGAGUAGGGGCUACACACGUGCUACAAUGGCGCAUACAGACGGUUGCGAAGGAGCGAUCUGGGAGCUAAUCUGAGAAAGUGCGUCGUAGUCCGGGA
This 511-nucleotide ribosomal RNA is filed under the name uncultured bacterium. Its description in RNAcentral is "bacterial SSU rRNA". It matches the Rfam family "Bacterial small subunit ribosomal RNA", at positions 791 to 1298 of the family's 1533-position model. The record is from RNAcentral.